This 509-nucleotide ribosomal RNA is filed under the name uncultured bacterium. RNAcentral's name for it is "bacterial SSU rRNA". It matches the Rfam family "Bacterial small subunit ribosomal RNA", at positions 1002 to 1509 of the family's 1533-position model. The record is from RNAcentral.
AGAGAUGCUUUGGUGCCUUUCGGGAACUCUGAGACAGGUGCUGCAUGGCUGUCGUCAGCUCGCGUUGUGAAAUGUUGGGUUAAGUCCCGCAACGAGCGCAACCCUUAUCCUUUGUUGCCAGCGGUUAGGCCGGGAACUCAAAGGAGACUGCCAGUGAUAAACUGGAGGAAGGUGGGGAUGACGUCAAGUCAUCAUGGCCCUUACGAGUAGGGCUACACACGUGCUACAAUGGCGCAUACAAAGAGAAGCGACCUCGCGAGAGCAAGCGGGACCUCAUAAAGUGCGUCGUAGUCCGGAUUGGAGUCUGCAACUCGACUCCAUGAAGUCGGAAUCGCUAGUAAUCGUGGAUCAGAAUGCCACGGUGAAUACGUUCCCGGGCCUUGUACACACCGCCCGUCACACCAUGGGAGUGGGUUGCAAAAGAAGUAGGUAGCUUAACCUUCGGGAGGGCGCUUACCACUUUGUGAUUCAUGACUGGGGUGAAGUCGUAACAAGGUAAGCGUAGUGCU